AUGAAAAAGGCAAACUAGUAGAAAUACUAGGACGCAAAGUUAUAGGGACUAAGAAAAAUAUUUUAAGUCAGCCAACUACCA
This 81-nucleotide non-coding RNA is filed under the name bovine gut metagenome. RNAcentral describes it as "Cyclic di-GMP-I riboswitch". It matches the Rfam family "c-di-GMP-I riboswitch aptamer". Rfam says of the family: GEMM was predicted in a large-scale screen for bacterial structured RNA regulatory elements. Genes associated with GEMM are involved in a diverse array of functions, including chemotaxis regulation, signal transduction, secretion and chitin. The record is from RNAcentral.